Molecule: long non-coding RNA, 314 nt
Organism: Leopardus geoffroyi (Geoffroy's cat)
Lineage: Eukaryota; Metazoa; Chordata; Mammalia; Carnivora; Felidae
Exons: 3
Source: RefSeq, a predicted model, not a curated record
CUUUUUGGAAUUCCAUCACUCACCUCAACAGGAUUCCUUGGGACAAGAAAAUGAUGCCCACAGCAUGCAGGGAAAUCAUGGUAGCUGCACUGAGGGGAAGAAAAACAGAGCCCAGAAACCAGCUGUCAUGUAAAAGAUCCAGAUCAACAUGUAUGAGACUACUAUGCUGUAAAUACCUGGUCACAGGGAAAGGCCACAUGGACCAUAUAUGUAAAUUAAUGCUAGUGAGUGAUCAUAGUUGAUUCCACAUCAAGCAAACAUCAGCUGAAACUAUUGUCUCACAGAAUCAACAAUAAAUUGUGUUUUUUAAGUCA